Molecule: ribosomal RNA, 207 nt
Filed under: uncultured bacterium
Lineage: Bacteria
Description: partial 16S ribosomal RNA
Rfam family: Bacterial small subunit ribosomal RNA
Source: RNAcentral
UGAGUAGGUUGAUAAUUAAGUUAGAUGUGAAAUACCUGGGCUUAACUUAGGGGUUGCAUAUAAUACUGAUUAUCUAGAGUAUGAGAGGGGUAAGAGGAAUUUCCGGUGUAGCGGUGAAAUGCGUAGAUAUCAGAAGGAACACCAGAGGCGAAGGCGUCUUACUGGCUUAAUACUGACACUGAGUCACGAAAGCGUGGUUAGCAAACA